CAGAAUGAGAUGAAAGUCCUCAGAGUGACAAAAAUGGGCACUGGGAAAGGCAGCUGCUGCUAAGAAGAUUUCACUGUGACAGAAAGCAAAAAGUGGAGGUCAGACUGUUGCCCAAAGAUCUGAUCCUGUUUAACCAGCCCUGAAGCUGUUCUGAAUGUGCUGUAGACCACUGAGAAUGGAUCGCCCCACACUGAUCAGUUUAUAGUGGGAAGGGCAAGGAAAUGGGACCGGGAACAGAAUCAGUUUUGA
This 249-nucleotide long non-coding RNA is filed under the name Gallus gallus (chicken). RNAcentral's name for it is "long non-coding RNA NONGGAT009356". Lineage: Eukaryota; Metazoa; Chordata; Aves; Galliformes; Phasianidae. The record is from RNAcentral.